This 434-nucleotide ribosomal RNA is filed under the name uncultured Clostridium sp. RNAcentral's name for it is "partial 16S ribosomal RNA". It matches the Rfam family "Bacterial small subunit ribosomal RNA", at positions 341 to 792 of the family's 1533-position model. Lineage: Bacteria; Bacillati; Bacillota; Clostridia; Eubacteriales; Clostridiaceae. RNAcentral also lists the same sequence under 1 other name. The record is from RNAcentral.
ACGGGAGGCAGCAGUGGGGAAUAUUGCACAAUGGGGGAAACCCUGAUGCAGCGACGCCGCGUGAGUGAAGAAGUAUUUCGGUAUGUAAAGCUCUAUCAGCAGGGAAGAUAAUGACGGUACCUGACUAAGAAGCACCGGCUAAAUACGUGCCAGCAGCCGCGGUAAUACGUAUGGUGCAAGCGUUAUCCGGAUUUACUGGGUGUAAAGGGAGCGUAGACGGUAUGGCAAGUCUGAAGUGAAAGCUCGGGGCUCAACCCCGGAACUGCUUUGGAAACUGUCGCACUAGAGUGCAGGAGAGGUAAGUGGAAUUCCUAGUGUAGCGGUGAAAUGCGUAGAUAUUAGGAGGAACACCAGUGGCGAAGGCGGCUUACUGGACUGUAACUGACGUUGAGGCUCGAAAGCGUGGGGAGCAAACAGGAUUAGAUACCCUGGUA